RNAcentral lists this signal recognition particle RNA (270 nucleotides) under Penicillium steckii. Its description in RNAcentral is "Fungal signal recognition particle RNA". It matches the Rfam family "Fungal signal recognition particle RNA". Lineage: Eukaryota; Fungi; Ascomycota; Eurotiomycetes; Eurotiales; Aspergillaceae. The record is from Rfam by way of RNAcentral.
AAUCUGUCAUGGAUAACCUAGUGGAAGGCUCACCGCCAAGUCGGCAACCUAGCUGCGGCAGCAAUGCCAGCAGGUCAAAGGUGCCUGGUACGAAUCCUGGGGAAGUCAUCUUACUCGGGCGAGUAAUCCCCGACGCUAUCUGGCUUUAAGUUUGGAAAUGACCCUUGAGGGAAGAAAUUCUGCAGAGACAUUUCCGCCCUGGGAUGGCGUCGCCAGAAUACACCGUCCUGUUACCAGGACGCUGGCUAUUUGGUGUGACAACUGCAUCUU